Molecule: unclassified non-coding RNA, 1510 nt
Filed under: Hevea brasiliensis (rubber tree)
Lineage: Eukaryota; Viridiplantae; Streptophyta; Magnoliopsida; Malpighiales; Euphorbiaceae
Source: RNAcentral
GGAUGAGUCUGAUGGAGGAGUUUGGGUCUUAUUUAGGGGUUCUUAUGUUCCAAGGGAGAGUGGGGAAAGCUUGCUUUGAGCCCUUAUAUUCUGUAAAAUUGAUGCUCAGUUGGCAAGUUGGAAAAUGAAUUUUUUUUUAUCUUUAGUAGGCCACAUUGUUCUUGCAAAGUCAGUUCUUAUUGCCUUACGGAACCAUCUUCUUCAAUCUAUUUAUCUUCCUAGAUCGAUUUGUGCUGAUUUUGAUAAAAGGAUCAGGGACUUCAUUUGGGGUGACCAAAGAGGGCAGAAAUGCCUUCAUCUUGUGAAUUGGGAUCAAGUCACCCAUCCAGUUCAGCAUGGUGGCCAGGGUGUGCGCUUUUGUAAGGAGAUGAAUGAUGCUUUUCUAGCUAAACUGGGGUGGCAUCUGUUACAUGAAAAUAAUGCUUUAUGGGCAGAAAUGGUUGAGGGCAAGUAUUUUGGGGACUCUUCUGGUGUGAAUAAUUUAGUAGGGAAGCGUAACGCGGCUAUUGUUUGGCAAGGCAUAACCAACAGUGCUUCUCUAUUGAAGUAAGGUAUCUAUAAUAUUGUUUGUACUGGGCUGUUUACUUUUUUCUAGGAAGAUAUUUGGCUUGUGGAUAUGCCCCUUCUUUCGUUAACUACGCAAGAUAUUCCCCACUAUUUUCUUUAGCGUCCUAUUGCACAUUUUUGGGACGGUAAUAUGUGGAAUUGGAGUUUAAUUUCUUAUUAUCUUUCUGAGGAUCUCUGUAUUCGUUUAGAGUCAGUUUCUUUAAUUUCAGAUGCUAAUGCUAUGGAUUAUAUGGCUUGGAGGUAUGAUUUUCGUGGAUCAUUCACAGUGAAAUCUGCAUAUAAGCUUGCAAAACCCUUAAGUUGUAGUGUAUUUGAUUCUCUCCGGUCUACUAUUUUGAGGAUUAAAGUUCCGCAACGCAUUCGAGUUUUUAUUUGGUUACUGGUCCAUUGUAAAAUCAUGACAAAUGAGGAGAGAUGUGGACGAAAUUUCACAAACGAUCCUGGAUGUAGUAUUUGUAGAACUUCCUGUGGAAGUACUGUUCAUGCUCAAAGGGAUUGUCCCUUAGCUAAGCUCGCAUGGAAGAGAAUAUGGAGUGCUAAGUCAUUUCGCAAUUUCGAGACUCUUCCUAUGGUGGGAUGGUUAUAUCAGGGCAAUUCUUUUGUGGGUCAGUUGUUUGGUAGUUCUACUUCUCUCCAGAUUUUGUGGUGGUUGUGGAAAUGAUGCAAUGACCUUAUUUUUAAUAUGAAUGCUCUAUCUCUUGAUGCUAAGUUACACAUAUUGAAAUUCCAAUUUUAUCUAAUGCUAAUGGAUGGGAUUCAUGUAGUUUAGAUAAAUCUAGCUUGACAAGAAAUAUCAUCUCUGUUGCUUGGCAACCUUCCAGUGUUGGUUGGUGGAAAUUGAAUACCGAUGGAGCAGCUAUAGGUAAUACUGGCCGAGUAGGUGGGGGUGGUGUCCUGAGGGACCAUCAUGGCCUCUAGAAGGCGGGCUGUACAGUACGGUUGG